RNAcentral lists this ribosomal RNA (465 nucleotides) under uncultured bacterium. RNAcentral's name for it is "partial 16S ribosomal RNA". It matches the Rfam family "Bacterial small subunit ribosomal RNA", at positions 28 to 507 of the family's 1533-position model. The record is from RNAcentral.
GACGAACGCUGGCGGCGUGCUUAACACAUGCAAGUCGAACGGAAAGGCCCCUUUGGGGGUACUCGAGUGGCGAACGGGUGAGUAACACGUGAGUAACCUGCCCUUGACUUCGGGAUAACUUCAGGAAACUGGGGCUAAUACCGGAUAGGAAUCCUUGCUGCAUGGUGGGGGUUGGAAAGCUUCGGCGGUUUUGGAUGGACUCGCGGCUUAUCAGCUUGUUGGUGGGGUAGUGGCUUACCAAGGCUUUGACGGGUAGCCGGCCUGAGAGGGCGACCGGCCACAUUGGGACUGAGAUACGGCCCAGGCUCCUACGGGAGGCAGCAGUGGGGAAUAUUGCACAAUGGGCGGAAGCCUGAUGCAGCAACGCCGCGGGCGGGAUGACGGCCUUCGGGUUGUAAACCGCUUUCAGCAGGGGCGAAGCUUGUGGUGACGGUACCUGCAGAAGAAGCACCGGCUAACUACGUG